Penaeus monodon (black tiger shrimp) is the source of this 625-nucleotide long non-coding RNA. RefSeq lists it as uncharacterized. The transcript has 5 exons. NCBI's taxonomy places the organism in Eukaryota, Metazoa, Arthropoda, Malacostraca, Decapoda, Penaeidae. The record is from RefSeq and is a predicted model, not a curated record.
UUCGCCAAGCCACGCCGACCCUCGUCCCCGGGUCAGUCAUAGCCGGGCCGCUGACGAAGGAAGACUGGCGCGCUCUGAGUCGACCCGAAGAUGUGAUAAAGUAGGGGGACGCAGUGGAGAACACACGAUCGUGUAACUUGCAUCGAACCGAAGAGUGAUUCAGUAAUUGUUAUCGAGUUUAAAAAAAGGAAAAAGAGAAAGGGAAAUUGAACCUGUCCCUUCGAAAAUAAACGCUCAUGAAUGAGACCAACAGGAGCACUUUUAAAGAGAAAGAGAUGCAACAUUAGGCCAGACCCGCCCACCAACCCUUGAGUGGCUGUGUUAUUGAACGAGCAGCCACCGACCAACGUUUGGCUGAACAAACUCACGCACACACGGCAGCCUUAUCUCCAGAACCCAAGGGCGGGAGGAAGCAAGAGCUACUACGACCUCAGCGGGCGUCCUCGCGAAGGAGACGACGUGAGGCCAAGGCGGGAAGUCAUGGUGCCAAGAGGUCACACUCCCGCCCUCUGUUAGCAUGUGUGUGCAUGCGCGCACUCUGCCCUCCCUCAAGGUGCGGGGUGAGGUGCACCUGUGCUAUGGGUGAGGGCUGGAGGUCAGGAUGGCCAGGCGUGAGGGUCAUGGG